Aphis gossypii (cotton aphid) is the source of this 674-nucleotide long non-coding RNA. RefSeq lists it as uncharacterized. The record is from RefSeq and is a predicted model, not a curated record. NCBI's taxonomy places the organism in Eukaryota, Metazoa, Arthropoda, Insecta, Hemiptera, Aphididae. The transcript has 5 exons.
UGCAGCUAGCAUAUAAUUAAAUAAUUGGCGUUCGCUUAUUAUGAUUGAAAAUAAUAUUUGACAAUUAAGUUAGAAUACUAUUAUUUUUAAAAUAUAUAUAUAUAUGUAUCGACUUAAUCGUCAAUCGGUUUCAAAAUCCGAGGAAGUCAAAAAGCAGAGAAACCGAAGAGUAUAGAACUUUAUUUGGGAUUUGAGAGUCGAAGUAUAAGACGCUAAACCAUAUGAAUGUUCGUAUGAAAAUGGGACGUACCAUAUGUACACACUGAAUUUAAAAUUAAGUGGUAUAUCUGAGUGAAUAAUAUAAGCUAGUACGAGCCAAUCAGAAACCACGAGUGUCUAUUAACGAUUCCAAAGACGUAUAUAAAAUUUCACAUAAUUAUAAAUAUUCGCUGAAGACACCGUAGGUCGAUCGAUUCUGAAGAAUUUAUUACGUGUAUGUGCUGAAAAUGUUAUAACUCGAAAAAAAGGAUCAUUCUCAAGAAAUCACUUACGAAGAUGCCAUGCUGGCAGCUUGUGACUAUCGAGUCUUCUAUUCACAGCUGAUGUUAAUUUACAAGUGACAAGUCGUAUUCGUAAUACUAUGUCAUAUCAAUAAACUAAUAUAUAUAUAUUCGGUUUAUUUUUGCGUAACAGAUGCAUAAUCGUAAAGAUUUUCACGAUUAUUUUAAUAACGG